AACAGGAUGGCUGAGUAAAGCAGUAGAUUGUAAAUCUUCUAACGAGUAGUAAAAACUCUUCUGUUA
RNAcentral lists this transfer RNA (66 nucleotides) under Calocaris macandreae. RNAcentral's name for it is "tRNA-Tyr". It matches the Rfam family "tRNA". From Rfam's summary of the family: Transfer RNA (tRNA) molecules are approximately 80 nucleotides in length. The record is from RNAcentral. Lineage: Eukaryota; Metazoa; Arthropoda; Malacostraca; Decapoda; Axiidae.